AUGGCUACUGAUGGUGGCCUGGCUAGGGGAUCUCUCACCACGUCGUUUUUCGGCCAGGUGGGCCAGGCCAAGGACCCCUAUAUCAAUUCACCAGUGGGCCACAUCGAUGGGCCCAUGGCGUAUGAAAGGAAGGCUAGAAUCAAGAAGGAGUACGAGAUCAGCAUCAUCUCAUGCGCCGAUGUCAUGGCCUUCGCUGGGCGUGAUGCCACCUACUUCCUCAAGUGCAAGAUGGUCUUCUUCGGCACACCAAGGUUGAUUGCCGACGAGAUGGUCACCCUCUCUAGUGCACACGCCAUUGGAAUGUCCCAUUCCUCCUCCUCCUCCUCCUCCUCCUCCUCAUCCUUCUCCGACUACCUCAACGCAAGCACCUCUGACAUGGGACCCACACUAAUGAGUUCUCUCGUGGAGCAAUGCGGGCCAGACAUAGGAAGUGACAACAUGGUGGUGCGGGAUGUCAAGACCCCUAACAAGGUCGACAACAAGCACUACAAUAAUAUGUUUAGCCAUCAUGUGCUCUUCAUGUUGGAUUCCAUGCUCAUGGCAUUAGAUGAUACAAGUGUGGCGGUGCAUGCCAAUGCCAACAACAAUGGUGUGUGGGGGGAGAAGUUCAAGGCAGCGAUGGUAAGGAUGGGUGCUAUCGAAGUCAAGACCAGUGCCAAUGGAUUUUGCUGUGUACAAGAUAAAAUGUUAUUCAUUUGGGUUAACCAAUUAGAUCAUUUUGAAUUUUCGGAGCAUGCCACCAAAUGGUCAUCUUCCUCCCACACCAUCUUCCUCCUCUCCCAUGACGGCUCCUCCUCCUUUCCGUGGCUUAUGCAGGCCUAA
Molecule: ribosomal RNA, 822 nt
Filed under: Triticum aestivum (bread wheat)
Lineage: Eukaryota; Viridiplantae; Streptophyta; Magnoliopsida; Poales; Poaceae
Description: partial small subunit ribosomal RNA
Source: RNAcentral